RNAcentral lists this ribosomal RNA (497 nucleotides) under uncultured bacterium. RNAcentral's name for it is "partial 16S ribosomal RNA". It matches the Rfam family "Bacterial small subunit ribosomal RNA", at positions 28 to 507 of the family's 1533-position model. The record is from RNAcentral.
GAUGAACGCUGGCGGCGUGCCUAAUACAUGCAAGUCGAGCGAACAGAUAAGGAGCUUGCUCCUUUGACGUUAGCGGCGGACGGGUGAGUAACACGUGGGUAACCUACCUAUAAGACUGGGAUAACUUCGGGAAACCGGAGCUAAUACCGGAUAACAUUUGGAACCGCAUGGUUCUAAAGUGAAAGAUGGUUUUGCUAUCACUUAUAGAUGGACCCGCGCCGUAUUAGCUAGUUGGUAAGGUAACGGCUUACCAAGGCGACGAUACGUAGCCGACCUGAGAGGGUGAUCGGCCACACUGGAACUGAGACACGGUCCAGACUCCUACGGGAGGCAGCAGUAGGGAAUCUUCCGCAAUAGGCGAAAGCCUGACGGAGCAACGCCGCGUGAGUGAUGAAGGGUUUCGGCUCGUAAAACUCUGUUAUUAGGGAAGAACAAAUGUGUAAGUAACUGUGCACGUCCUGACGGUACCUAAUCAGAAAGCCACGGCUAACUACGUG